This 468-nucleotide ribosomal RNA is filed under the name uncultured bacterium. RNAcentral's name for it is "partial 16S ribosomal RNA". It matches the Rfam family "Bacterial small subunit ribosomal RNA", at positions 28 to 507 of the family's 1533-position model. The record is from RNAcentral.
GAUGAACGCUGGCGGCGCGCCUAACACAUGCAAGUCGAACGGUAAGACCAUGCUCGGGUGGGGUUAACGAGGGGGGCGGGUGAGUGAAACAUGUGCAUAACGCGCCCUUCAUUUUGGUAGAACCUCAGGACAGUGGGGAUAAUAUAAUACAGCAGGACCUCCUCCUGGGAGAGGGGUGGAAAGUCUCGGCGGGUGGGAUUGGACGCGCGGCUUGUCGGUUUGUUGGUGGGGUAAUGGCUUACCAAGGCAUUGACGGGUAGCCGGCUUGAGAGCGUGGCCGGCCACAUUGGGACUGAGAGACGGCCCAGACUCCUACGGGAGGCAGCAGUGGGGAAUCUUGCACAAUGGGCGGAAGCCUGAUGCAGCGACGCCGCGUGCGGGAUGACGGCCUUCGGGUUGUAAACCGCUUUCGGCUGUGACGAAGCGUGAGUGACGGUACCGGCAGAAGAAGCACCGGCUAACUACGUG